RNAcentral lists this transfer RNA (83 nucleotides) under Acinetobacter baumannii. RNAcentral's name for it is "tRNA-Gly". It matches the Rfam family "tRNA". Rfam says of the family: Transfer RNA (tRNA) molecules are approximately 80 nucleotides in length. Their secondary structure includes four short double-helical elements and three loops (D, anti-codon, and T loops). Further hydrogen bonds mediate the characteristic L-shaped molecular structure. tRNAs have two regions of fundamental functional importance: the anti-codon, which is responsible for specific mRNA codon recognition, and the 3' end, to which the tRNAs corresponding amino acid is attached (by aminoacyl-tRNA synthetases). tRNAs cope with the degeneracy of the genetic code in two manners: having more than one tRNA (with a specific anti-codon) for a particular amino acid; and 'wobble' base-pairing, i.e. permitting non-standard base-pairing at the 3rd anti-codon position. The record is from RNAcentral. RNAcentral also lists the same sequence under 1 other name. Lineage: Bacteria; Pseudomonadati; Pseudomonadota; Gammaproteobacteria; Moraxellales; Moraxellaceae.
GCGGGAAUAGCUCAGUUGGUAGAGCAUAACCUUGCCAAGGNNCAAGGUUGGGGUCGCGAGUUCGAGUCUCGUUUCCCGCUCCA